Molecule: ribosomal RNA, 253 nt
Filed under: uncultured bacterium
Lineage: Bacteria
Description: partial 16S ribosomal RNA
Rfam family: Bacterial small subunit ribosomal RNA
Source: RNAcentral
UACAGAGGUGCCAAGCGUUAGGCGGAAUCACUGGGCUUAAAGCGCGUGUAGGGGGACGGGUAAGUAUCUUGUGAAAUCCCACAGCUCAACUGUGGAACUGCUGGAUAUACUGCUUGUCUUGAGGCAUUCAGGGGCAACCGGAACAAAUGGUGGAGCGGUGAAAUGCGUAGAUAUCAUUUGGAACGCCUAUGGUGAAAACAGGUUGCUGGGGAUGUUCUGACACUGAGACGCGAAAGCCAGGGGAGCAAACGGG